UCGACUACAUGAAGCUGGAAUCGCUAGUAAUCGCGAAUCAGCAUGUCGCGGUGAAUACGUUCCCGGGUCUUGUACACACCGCCCGUCACACCAUGGGAGACGGAAAUGCCCGAAGUCGGUGACCUAACCGAGAGGGAGGAACCGCCGAAGGCAGGUUCGGUAACUGGGGUGAAGUCGUAACAAGGUAAC
This 189-nucleotide ribosomal RNA is filed under the name uncultured bacterium. RNAcentral's name for it is "partial 16S ribosomal RNA". It matches the Rfam family "Bacterial small subunit ribosomal RNA", at positions 1312 to 1500 of the family's 1533-position model. The record is from RNAcentral.